CCGACCAUAGCAAGAACAAAGGAAGAAAAGAAGAACACAAACCCUAGGUGGAAAAAUUCAUGGGAAAAGUGUGAAAAUUCAAGUAAUCAAGCAAUCAAAGGUAAAAUUUCUUGAUUUUGACUUGUGAUCUACCUUUCCCAUGCAUUAUUUUGCAUUUUUCAUGGUUGAAUCACAAGAUAUCAUGAAGGAUUCAUUGCUGACCGAAUUUAGAGAGAGAGGAUUUGAUGGUUGUUUUGGUUAGAUUUUAAGAUAUUCUAGUGUUUUUAGUUAGUUGGUGAUGUAUAGCAUGAAAAUCAAACAAGAAAAAUUCAUUUUCUCCCAUAACCCAUCAUUGGCUGAAUUUUCCAUGUAGAGUGUGGAUGAUGAUUUUGAUUUUAUUUCCAGUGAAUUGGUUAGGAAAUGAUGAAUUAUGGUGAGAAAAUCAAGUAGGAAAAAUCAUAAUGUUGAUGCACCCACCAUGGCCGAAUUUUUCAAGAGAAAAUGUGAAGAUGAUUUUGCUAGAUUUUAUGCUAUUUGACUUGUGUUUGAUGAUUUGGAGUAUUGAGAGAAAAAUGAAAUUAUUUGGAGUGAAAUUGGACAUAUUGGCCAAUUAAUCGAGAGAUAGAUCAAAUUAGAUCAAUACCGUUUUAUUUAGAUACACAAUUGAAUUUAUGUAGAGUACUGUGUUUGGACGAUAAUCCGAACAAUUUGCAUCCCAUUUCAUGCAUUAGUAAAGAGCCUGAAAUAGAUUUAUAAUGGUAUGACACAGUAUAUUAAAUUAUGUGUCGUGUAUUGUGUAUAGGUGUUGAGCCUUCUAACAAGGGUAAAGACGUUGUGUUAGAGGAUUGAGAAUAGGAGUAAUUCAAACUCCUUAUACAAUAAGUAACCUUACUAUCAUCUUAAUUAUCUGAAGUGGUUUUUAUCCGAUUUUGUGAUUUUAUGAAAAAUGAGUUUAAAUGGUAAAUCUUUAUGUUUUAUAAGUAAAAUGUGUUUAAAUGAAAUGAUUUUUUAAAAUUAUCUUGAAAUUGAAUAAUGGCUUUGAAAAUAGAGUAAUUGGAGACCAUUUGAUGUAUUGUGAAUUUAUGGUUCUAAUUGAUUGGCUUAUGACAAUAUUAGCAUGAAUGGCUGAAUUGGUAUUUGUGUUGAAAUGUAUAAACUGUUGUUUACCUUGAUAGGCUGGAUAAUAAUAAAAUUGUCAUAUCAUGCUGUUGAAUUUUUAUUGUAUGGUGGGUUUAGCUUGCUAUAGUGGGCUGGUUCUGUGGACCAACCUAUUAGAGGGGCACGAAACCUGGUCAUAUAUAUGUACCUCGAUUAGAGAGGCGCGUAGGGUAACUCUCGAGGUCAAACUUUAGAGUUCACUUCACGCCCAACCACCACGUGAGGGGAACUCGACCAACGUCAAUGAAUGGCUAUGUUUUCAAAAUAAAAACAUGAUUUAUGCGCACAUAACUUUUUAACAGCUUUGGUGGACUCGGUUGGGAUAGCCCUCAAUCAAGGCAUCCCUGAUAACUGAGUAUGAAAAUGAUUUUGGCAAGAGCCAAAGUUUUAAGAAAUUCAUAAGCCAUGUUGAUUACUCGAUUUAUGUGAAUUGAUUUUAUUUGGUUGAAACAAGUUGAAAGGUGAUGAAUUACAGUAUGUUGAACUAUUUUAUCUGUCUCCAUUUACUCGGCUUUAGAUAUUUUAGAUGAUAUUUGUUUACUCACUGAGAUUAUAUAAUCUCACCACCCUCCUUUCCACCCAUUUCAGGUUCAAGAUAGUCUAUGGAUAGCUGAUUUCAUCAAGGACCACCAUUGGAUUUGCAUCCUCCAAACUGUAGGUUCACAAUUUUUCUUACUUUCGGUUAUUCGAGAGCUCACUUGUUACUGUAAAUUAAAUUAAAUACUCUGGCUUACUGUAUUACGAUAUAUAUGAAUUUAUUUUGCUUUUACGUUGUAAAAAAUUAUUUAUGCAGUAUUCUAAAAAUAUUGUUUUAUGAGAAAAUUGAAUAUUUUAUUGAAUAUUUUUAUUUUAUUCUAAUAGUCAUAAUUUCAUUUUAAACGAAUGUUUUAGACAUCCAAAUUUAUUUUUGAUUAUGAAAUAUGUGUUUUGCACUAGCAUACUACAUUUUUAACGGAUUUCGAGAUUUAUGAGAAAAAAUGACCAAAAUGCCCCUAUGAGAAAAAAAUUGUUUUUCUAUUGUUUUGAUUUGGAAAAUGUUUAUGAUCUCUCAAAACAUAAUUUUAGUGACUAAUACUCAUAGGGGAAGGGAGAAAAAUUGAUGUUAAGCCUUGCGAGGUUUCGAUUGACAUUCCGGGUAAAGAAUGUCUAUCGGGACGUCGCGACGAUUGUCACGGGCCCGAUGAGAGUUCCGGAUCGUGACAUGAUAACUUGAAACAAAACGUACAGUUAGUUAUCUAUAGAGAGAUGAACCCAAAUCAUGCAAUUUAUUGCAAUUUUAAAAAAUUUUACUAACUAAAUUAAUGAUAUUGUGUUAUUGUUUGAUUAUGCAAUUGAGUACAUCUUCAAUGGUGACAUUUGAUGUAACUACAUGAACGAGGCUAAAUUAAUUUUCAGUGCCUUCCUUUCUGCUAUUUGUCAUAAACUCCAAGAAAUAUAUAUAUAUAUAUAUAUAUACACACACACACAUAUACACACACACACACACACACACACACACACACACGUAUAUACAUAUGUUUAUGAGUUCAAUUCCAAAAAUUAUUUGUUCUCGUAAUUUCUUUUUUUUUUAAAGACAAUCCCAAUAAAAACAGCAACAUAAGUUAUGUAUGUAUAGUCUAGUGUUCAAUGGCAUGUAAAUUUAUUGGUUCAUUAGAUUACAUAGAGAUAAGAUUUAUAUCUCUUAAUUAUAAGUUUUUGUUUUAAUCUUUCAAAUUCAGACAUGGGGAAUGAUGAAAAAUAUUUAAAUAUUAAUCAAAUUUAUAAGUUAUAAUUGGGCUAUCCAUUGAGGUUUAUUGGUCUAGAAUGCACUGGAUCUCUUAAUCUUAGUUUUUUUUUUUUAAUUUUGUCCCUAUUUUUUUAUUUUUUCUUUUCUUUUUGCCCUCCCCUUGCCACCACAGCACAAGGAUGAAAAUGCCCGGGCAUAGUAACCACAAAACUUAUUCUAUAAUCCAGUUUAUUUUAUUUUAUUUUAUACAUUUAAUAUAUUUCAGUUUUUUAAUAUAACAAAUAGAAGUUGAAUGCAAGCUAAAAAACGUUUGACAUCGUUUUGUCACUUUGUUGUCCUUUUGAUUCUUCCUAAGUAAUAGACUUUUAAUUCCUUCUUCAUUUGUUUAAAUCUCACCUUUUUCUUUUUGUUUUAUCACAACUAUUUUAUCUUAAUAUGACAAUAAUUUAUUACAUAAAUUUAAUAACAAAACCUAUAAAUUCAUAAAUAAAUCAAUCAAAAUAAGAUAUUUUUAAAAUAUAAUCAAUAAAGAGUAAAUUCUACAUAGAUAUCUUGUGAUAUAACAUUUUUUCACAUAACACUUUAAGGGGUUUUUUUUCGUAUAAAAUUAUAUUUCACUUUUAUAUUCAAAUGAGUGAACAGUGUUAUAUUUUCAAUUAAUUUUUUUAAAAAAGGCAAUAAUAGGUUUCUUUUAUAAUUCUUUUAUUUUUUUGUUCAUUUAGUUAAAAAAAAUUGGACCAUUUUUGGGAUUUCUUUUAUAAUCCUUUUAUCCUCACUCAAAUCUUUCUGUUUGAGACUCAAAAACUUAAUAGGGGUUAAAUAACAUUGAUUAUGUCUUCUUUCCUCAAGUUUCUCAAGCAAAAUACAUAAGUCCCUAGUUUAAUAUUUUUGUCUUGACAUGUUCCUCACAUAAAUUUUAUUUUAUUUUUUUGGCUAUAAAAUUUGGCCUAGGUGGCAAUUGCCAAUUUUUCUGCUUUCAUUUGUUUUUUAAAUCCUCAGUUGAGGAAAAAAUCCUGGGGAAAUAUAUGCUUCAAUUGACGAUCUAUAAAAGGCAGUACACAUAUUUUUUCAACAAAAAGAACUUUUGCUGCACAAAGCCAAAGCUACAUAUUUCCAAACCUUCCCAAGCCAAGCAACAGACAUUGUACAAUCGCCAAGUCCAGAAGCUAAACAACUAGUUGCAAGCAUCUAAAGCUCAUUACCAAAAACUUGUGCUUGUCAAAAGCAUUAAGCCAGCUUUAGCAAACACUAAACAAAACAAGCACUGCCAACCAUUUCACCUGACUUUAACCAAUUCAACAUCAAAAACCAGCCACGAGUCCGGUGGAAUAUUCUCACUAGCCCCUUCAUUUCUAUAACUGCAAAACAAACCCAAGUACAUCAUUGAAGGAACUGGACCAGGCCAAGAGUAAAAACAUAAUAGAGAAAUGAGCUUGGUGUAUUUAACCAAAUUGAAUUGCAUACCUCAUUGAUGGUGGAACAGUGAGUCUACGUUUGCCACCAACUCGCAUACCUAAAAAUCACAAUACAUUACACUCAUAAGGAACAAAAUUCUAGGAAAAUAGAAAUUCAAUUUGUUAAUGGAUAAAAAUUACUUAUGAAAAAAAAAUCAAAGCUCAUACCAUCAAUGCCAACAUUCCAUACCUCUGGAACUUCUUCCCCACCUGCAAAAGCAACAUAGUUAAAAGUCCUAACUUAAAAAGUUAGUAAAACAAAUACAUAUUUGCAAAGAGCAGCAUUUAAAUCAAAAACUUGCCCACACUCUCUAAUAACCAGUCUCCCUAGAAUGUGUAGGCACAUUUGUUCAUAAAAACUAUGCAAUAUGAUAAGAAACUGAAUAGAUAAUACCUUUUUGAAUUAGGCAAUGACCAAAAAACCACUGUGCUAGUAAAGUAUAAUUUAACCAAAGAUGCCUACCAAGCCGAAACUUUAACAGAGCUUUUCCAGCGCUUGAAUAAAAUACUUCUCCACUCUCCUUCAACUUUCCAGUGUAACGGACACGAACCUAACACAAAGAGUAUCGUUUUCAAUCAAAACUCUUUAAAUAAUUUCCUUUAGUUCAACAUGGCAGAACUUACAAGGAGAGAAUAUGCAUAGUCAUUACAAAAUGGACAAAAUAGUAAAUCAAGACCACAUGCCUUUUUACCAAGAGAAGCUAGUUUGCGAUCUGGUUUCCCCAUUUCUAACUCUUCAAUGAUCAUUCCAUUUGACAGCUGAAUUGCCUCGUAAUUAGCAUUCUCACCAUCCAUGUCCAUAACAGAUCUAUCCUUUUCAAUGCCUGAUAAGAGAGGUGCUUCCAUCUUCAUGGCAUCCCCAUUGUCCUUAUUCUUGCGCCUUUUCUUCCUUUUCCUCCUCCUAGAUUGAUUUUAUAAAAGAAAUUGAUCAGUAUCACUGUUAAAACACCUGCAAAUAGCUAAUGGCUAAGAUUUGCCAUUACAAGACUAGAACUAGAAUAAAAAGUCUUGCAGGCAAAUUCAACUCAUGCACCCAAGGUAGAUGUGUCAUGUAUAGAAAAUGAAAAAGACUGCAAUUGCACACAUGGCCAUUCACAAGUCAAGCAAGUCAACACUUACUUUUCAUUAACUUGGCUUUGAGUUUCCUUAUCCUCCACAUAUACAUCCAGGGUUACGGCAUCCAAAUUUGAACCGUUUUUCUGGCCUUUAUCUUCUUCAGCAACAUUGUCUUCAAAUGUUUUCUCUUCUACCUGUUCUUUUCUUUUCCUCAUUGGCUUUGCUCCAUCUUCAAGAGCCACUUCAGUGGAAGCUAGCAAGAGACUAUGUUGAAAGUUCUCUUCCCUACAAUAACAUAUUGUAUAGUGAUUGUUAAAACAAGAAUGAUUCCUUAAAAAACAUAUAACUAAGAUGAGGACAAACAUGGAAGCACAAAGUUUAUUAAACAGCAAAAUCUUUAAGCAAAGUAUCACUCACUCAUUACAGGCAGGCUUUUGAUUUUGCUCCAAUACCGCUUUUCCAGUCAUGCCAUGAUCAGCUUCAGGAAAUUGUUCCUCUACGAGCUCUUCUCUUUUCCUCUUCGGCAUACCAUCAUCAACACCAAGCACAAGCUUUUGUGUUUCUUCAUUCCUGACACCUGAUUCACUGUAAGCCAGCACGAAUAAAUUAAAGUUAAACCAAAUCCACUGCAACCCAGGAAUGAUCGAUGAAGCAAACAAACAUAAUAAUAGUUGGCACCUCAAGGUCCUCUUCUCGAUAUAGUUUGUUAAGCUAUUGCAUUGUAUUUCUUUAUCAUUUGAUAGGCUUGUCUGUUUCUUUUAAGUCACACAACAAACCUAGCUACAUAUCAAGCUGAAAACCUAGUGCAGCAUGAGUCCCUUCUGACAUUGUAACAUUAUCUUCAAUCUCAUUUUAUCUAUUUCCUUGCUAGCUUUUUCCUCCAUGUUGACUUUUCAACUAUUAAAUGCACAAAUCAUUAAACAACAAAAUUUUUAAGCAAAAUAUCACUCACUCAUCACUGGCAAGCUUCUGAUUUUGCUCAUUUUGUUCCAAUAUUGCUUUUCCAGUCAUGCCAUGAUCAGCUUCAGGAAAUCUUUCCUCCUUGACCAGCACUUCUCCUUUCUUCUUUGGCAUACCAUCAUCAACACCAAGCACAAGCUUUUGUGUUUCUUCAUUCGGGACAACUGAUUCACUGUAAGCCAGUACGAAUAAAUUAAAGUUAAACCAAAUCAACUGCAAGCCAGAAAUGAUUGAUGAAGCAAACAAACAUAAUAAUAGUUGGCACCUCAAGGUCCUCUUCUCGAUAUAGUUUGUUAAGCUAUUGCAUUGUAUUCCUUUAUCAACUAAUAGGCUUCUCUUUUCUUUUAAUUAGUCCCUUCUGACAUUGUAACAUUAUCUUGAGUCUCAUUUCAUCUAUUUCCUUCUCAGCUUUUUCCCUCCACAUCAUUUUCCAUUAUCCAAUGCAUAAUUCAUUAAACAACAAAAUUUUUAAGCAAAAUAUCACUCACUCAUUCCUGGGCAGCUUCUGAUUUUGCUCAUUUUGUUCCAAUACUGCCUUUCCAGUCAUGCCAUGAUCAGCUUCAGGAAAUCUUUCCUCCUUGACCAGCACUGCUCUUUUCUUCUUUGACAUACCAUCAUCAACACCAAGCACAAGCUUUUGUGUUUCUUCAUUCGGGACAACUGAUUCACUGUAAGCCAGUAAGAAUAAAUUAAAGUUAAACCAAAUCAACUGCAAGCCAGAAAUGAUUGAUGAAGCAAACAAACAUAAUAAUAGUUGGCACCUCAAGGUCCUCUUCUCAAUAUAGUUUGUUAAGCUAUUGCAUUGUAUUCCUUUAUCAACUAAUAGGCUUUUCUGUUUCUUUUAAUUAGUCCCUUCUGACAUUGUAACAUUAUCUUGAGUCUCAUUCUAUCUAUUUCCUUCCUAACUUUUUCCUCCACGUCAUUUUCCACUCUCUAAUGCUCAAUUCAUUAAACAAGAAAAUUUUUAAGCAAAAUAACACUCACUCAUUACUGGCCAACUUCUGAUUUUGCUCAUUUUGUUCCAAUACUGCUUUUCCAGUCAUGCCAUGAUCAUCUUCAGAAAAUCUUUCCUCCUUGACCAUCACUUCUCUUUUCUUCUUUGGCAUACCAUCAUCAACGCCAAGCACAACCUUCUGUGUUUCUUCAUUCCUGACACCUGAUUCACUGUAAGCCAGUACAAAUAAAUUAAAGUUAAACCAUAUCAACUGCAAGCCAGAAAUGAUAAAUGAAGCAAACAACCAUAAGUUUAACAGAUAAUAGUUGGCACCCCCACGCCCUCUUCUCAAUAAAGUUUGUUCAGCUAUUGCAUUGUAUUUCUCAUCGUUUGAUAGGCUUAUCUGUUUCUUUUAAGUUUUACAACAAUUCUACCUUUCAGGCCUAACACCUAUUGCAGCAGUAGUCCCUUCCGACAUUAAAACAAUGUCUUCAGUCUCAUUGUUGUUAAGAUUAUCUAUUUCCUUCCUAGCAUUUUCCUCCACGUCAACCUUUCCACUAUCCGAUGCAUUGUUUCCCCUACAGAGAGAAGAAAUAGGCAAGGUAUCUUCAAAUUCACUGUCCAAU
Molecule: long non-coding RNA, 7893 nt
Filed under: Theobroma cacao (cacao)
Lineage: Eukaryota; Viridiplantae; Streptophyta; Magnoliopsida; Malvales; Malvaceae
Description: long non-coding RNA (TCAC_LNC004463)
Source: RNAcentral